GAUGAACGCUGGCGGCGUGCCUAAUACAUGCGAGUCGAGCGAACGGACGAGAAGCUUGCUUCUCUGAUGUUAGCGGCGGACGGGUGAGUAACACGUGGAUAACCUACCUAUAAGACUGGGAUAACUUCGGGAAACCGUAGCUAAUACCGGAUAAUAUUUUGAACCGCAUGGUUCAAAAGUGAAAGACGGUCUUGCUGUCACUUAUAGAUGGAUCCGCGCUGCAUUAGCUAGUUGGUAAGGUAACGGCUUACCAAGGCAACGAUGCAUAGCCGACCUGAGAGGGUGAUCGGCCACACUGGAACUGAGACACGGUCCAGACUCCUACGGGAGGCAGCAGUAGGGAAUCUUCCGCAAUGGGCGAAGGCCUGACGGAGCAACGCCGCGUGAGUGAUGAAGGUCUUCGGAUCGUAAAACUCUGUUAUUAGGGAAGAACAUAUGUGUAAGUAACUGUGCACAUCUUGACGGUACCUAAUCAGAAAGCCACGGCUAACUACGUG
Molecule: ribosomal RNA, 497 nt
Filed under: uncultured bacterium
Lineage: Bacteria
Description: partial 16S ribosomal RNA
Rfam family: Bacterial small subunit ribosomal RNA
Source: RNAcentral